GGGAGUGUGGUGUAAUGGCUAGCAUACUAGAUUUGGAUUCUAGGGGAGAGGUUCGAAUCCUACAUUUCCA
This 70-nucleotide transfer RNA is filed under the name Lachnospiraceae bacterium. RNAcentral describes it as "tRNA_Pro_TGG". It matches the Rfam family "tRNA". From Rfam's summary of the family: Transfer RNA (tRNA) molecules are approximately 80 nucleotides in length. Their secondary structure includes four short double-helical elements and three loops (D, anti-codon, and T loops). The record is from RNAcentral. Lineage: Bacteria; Bacillati; Bacillota; Clostridia; Lachnospirales; Lachnospiraceae.